RNAcentral lists this ribosomal RNA (769 nucleotides) under uncultured Pelagibacteraceae bacterium. RNAcentral's name for it is "bacterial SSU rRNA". It matches the Rfam family "Bacterial small subunit ribosomal RNA", at positions 35 to 852 of the family's 1533-position model. The record is from RNAcentral. Lineage: Bacteria; Pseudomonadati; Pseudomonadota; Alphaproteobacteria; Candidatus Pelagibacterales; Candidatus Pelagibacteraceae.
GCUGGCGGCACGCCUAACACAUGCAAGUCGAACGAAGUAGCAAUACUUAGUGGCAGACGGGUGAGUAACAUGUGGGUAUCUGCCCUUUGGCCUGGAAUAACACGAGGAAACUUGUGCUAAUACCGGAUAAGUCUUUACGGAGAAAGCUUUAUGCACCAUUGGAUGAGCCCGCACUUGAUUAGUUUGUUGGUAGGGUAAUGGCCUACCAAGACUGUGAUCAAUAGCUGAUUUGAGAGGAUGAUCAGCCACAUUGGGACUGAGACACGGCCCAAACUCCUACGGGAGGCAGCAGUGGGGAAUCUUGCACAAUGGAGGAAACUCUGAUGCAGCGAUGCCGCGUGAGUGAAGAAGGCCCUUGGGUUGUAAAGCUCUUUCGUCGGGGAAGAAAAUGACUGUACCCGAAUAAGAAGGUCCGGCUAACUUCGUGCCAGCAGCCGCGGUAAUACGAAGGGACCUAGCGUAGUUCGGAAUUACUGGGCUUAAAGAGUUCGUAGGUGGUUGAAAAAGUUGGUGGUGAAAUCCCAGAGCUUAACUCUGGAACUGCCAUCAAAACUUUUCAGCUAGAGUUUGAUAGAGGAAAGCAGAAUUUCUAGUGUAGAGGUGAAAUUCGUAGAUAUUAGAAAGAAUACCAAUUGCGAAGGCAGCUUUCUGGAUCAUUACUGACACUGAGGAACGAAAGCAUGGGUAGCGAAGAGGAUUAGAUACCCUCGUAGUCCAUGCCGUAAACGAUGUGUGUUAGACGUUGGAAAUUUAUUUUCAGUGUCGCAGC